CCUACGGGGGGCAGCAGUAGGGAAUCUUCGGCAAUGGGGGCAACCCUGACCGAGCAACGCCGCGUGAGUGAAGAAGGUUUUCGGAUCGUAAAGCUCUGUUGUAAGAGAAGAACGAGUGUGAGAGUGGAAAGUUCACACUGUGACGGUAUCUUACCAGAAAGGGACGGCUAACUACGUGCCAGCAGCCGCGGUAAUACGUAGGUCCCGAGCGUUGUCCGGAUUUAUUGGGCGUAAAGCGAGCGCAGGCGGUUAGAUAAGUCUGAAGUUAAAGGCUGUGGCUUAACCAUAGUACGCUUUGGAAACUGUUUAACUUGAGUGCAGAAGGGGAGAGUGGAAUUCCAUGUGUAGCGGUGAAAUGCGUAGAUAUAUGGAGGAACACCGGUGGCGAAAGCGGCUCUCUGGUCUGUAACUGACGCUGAGGCUCGAAAGCGUGGGGAGCGAACAGGAUUAGAUACCCCAGUAGUC
RNAcentral lists this ribosomal RNA (465 nucleotides) under uncultured Streptococcus sp. RNAcentral's name for it is "bacterial SSU rRNA". It matches the Rfam family "Bacterial small subunit ribosomal RNA", at positions 338 to 795 of the family's 1533-position model. Lineage: Bacteria; Bacillati; Bacillota; Bacilli; Lactobacillales; Streptococcaceae. The record is from RNAcentral.